Molecule: ribosomal RNA, 253 nt
Filed under: uncultured bacterium
Lineage: Bacteria
Description: partial 16S ribosomal RNA
Rfam family: Bacterial small subunit ribosomal RNA
Source: RNAcentral
UACGUAGGGUGCAAGCGUUAUUCGGAAUUACUGGGCGUAAAGCGCGCGCAGGCGGUGAUGUAAGUCAGGUGUGAAAUCCCCGGGCUUAACCUGGGAACUGCAUUUGUGACUGCAUCGCUGGAGUGCGGCAGAGGGGAAUGGAAUUCCGCGUGUAGCAGUGAAAUGCGUAGAUAUGCGGAGGAACACCGAUGGCGAAGGCAAUCCCCUGGGCCGGCACUGACGCUCAUGCACGAAAGCGUGGGGAGCGAACAGG